Molecule: long non-coding RNA, 1026 nt
Organism: Labeo rohita (rohu)
Lineage: Eukaryota; Metazoa; Chordata; Actinopteri; Cypriniformes; Cyprinidae
Exons: 3
Source: RefSeq, a predicted model, not a curated record
GAGGGAGCGGAGGAACAAAUGUGAAACACACGUUCUGGCGGGACACACUGGCUCGGCCGUGGUUCGUUUGAGAGCCAGUAGUGACGGCAACAUAGAUCUCUCUUUUAGAGCCACUAACCAGUAACAAGUCCCUCUAGUGAUUGCAACUGCCAGCUAUGGGCCCUAUCUGUGCAGUGUCCGAUUAAAACCAAAGGCUAAGCAAGACAGCAUGUCUGUCAGCUUGCUGAAGUGUCCUCCUCUUCCUGGAUCCACAUGAGUGAAUCAUAUGGUGGACUUGGCCGGGUGCACCGGAACAAAAGUCAUGAAAACUCAUACAGAAUAAGGGAAAACACAAUGCAAAGCCUUUCCCCCACAGAGGUGGUUGGAGAAGUAAAGGUGCUGACAGAUAGAUGGCACAUGAUCCAUUUCCUCCUGCGCCACAGAGAUGCAUUAGAUAUUCUUUUUCCAAGAACCCAGCAUCCAAUCUCACCAGGUGAUUUAUUUCAAUAAUCCACUAACUUCAUAACAGAGCAGGAUGCGUCUUCUCCAACGGCUGUGUGGUCCUGUAGAAGAAUAUUAUGUAUGAUAUUAAAAAUACAAUGACAGAUGUACUCAUUUUCAGUCAGAAGAAAUAGAAGGGGGAAAAUGAGGACUGAUUUAUACACGAUACCAUCUAAAAGCUCCACACAAAAAAAGCGUUUCGCUUUUCCAUGAAUGUAAUGCUACUGUUUCCUUGAAAAGUGUGAAUUGCUAGUACUCAACUUCUCAUUCUGAAAUUUCUUAAUAGGAAAUGAACAUCUUAAUAAUUUUUUUUUUCCUUCUGAAAUCCUAAACAAAUCAAUGGGUCAGAGUUUAGCUGGUUAGUUUCGGCAGUUACCCUGCCAGUAGGUGCUGUAAGUACAACAUUAGGCAAGCAAAAAGCCUGUUUUUUAAUUUAUGGCAUUGUAAAUUAGCCAUUGUUGCUUAGCACUUUUUUGGCAAACAAUACGAAUAUGAAUCGAAUAUUUAAUUAUAUUGAUGCUUGCUUAGUGCCUACAUCUCUUAAAA